AGAGAGAGACAUGCGUGCAUAUCAAUAAGCGGAGGAAAAGAAACUAACAAGGAUUCCCCUAGUAACGGCGAGUGAAGCGGGAAGAGCUCAAAUUUGAAAUCUUAAAGGGUUUCCCUUUACGAAUUGUAGUUUAAAGAAGUGUUUUCUGUUGAGGUUUUGGUAAAAGUUCUUUGGAAUAGGACAUCAUAGAGGGUGAGAAUCCCGUAUUUGACCUUUACUUUCAACUUUGUGAUACACUUUCAAAGAGUCGGAUUGUUUGGGAAUGCAGUCCAAAAUGGGUGGUAAAUUUCAUCUAAAGCUAAAUAUUGGCGAGAGACCGAUAGCGAACAAGUACCGUGAGGGAAAGAUGAAAAGAACUUUGAAAAGAGAGUUAAACAGUACGUGAAAUUGUCAAAAGGGAAGCGUUUGACACCAGUGUUGUUUUUCUGAAAAUCAAUUAAAGAACUGUUUAUGCUAAGUUGUUUAGACUUUAUCAGCUAACCGUUUAGUUUUGAGCUUUUCUUUAAUGCACUUUUCAGUUAACAAGUCAACAUCAAUUUCUUUUGCUGUAAAAAAGCUUGAGGAAGGUGGCUUGAGAUUCGUCUUAAGUGUUUAUAGCCUCUUGCCUAUGCAGUCGGAGAGAUUGAGGUCUGCAGCGUAGAUCCUUCGGGGCUAAAUGCAUUUGUGCUAAGUUAUAGCAUUUUAUAGACAACUUGUUGACUAUGAUUUGUCUUGUAGCUUACUCGCUUAUGUUAUUUUACCUACGCUUAGGAUGUUGACGCAUGAGAUAUACGC
RNAcentral lists this ribosomal RNA (774 nucleotides) under uncultured Neocallimastigales. RNAcentral describes it as "partial large subunit ribosomal RNA". It matches the Rfam family "Eukaryotic large subunit ribosomal RNA", at positions 23 to 647 of the family's 3401-position model. Lineage: Eukaryota; Fungi; Neocallimastigomycota; Neocallimastigomycetes; Neocallimastigales. The record is from RNAcentral.